GACAUAGAAACCAAAAAAAAAUUUAACAAAAGGACAAAUUAAAGAAAGAGAAAAAAAAAAUGUAUGGUACAUUGAGGAGCCAAAACGAGGAAAAACAAAAUCAGUUAACAGAAAAAACCCCGCUAAUUGGGCAACAACGCCACCUUUAUCCACGCUUCUUCCUUCCCACGCGCUCUUUCUACGCCCCACCCUCCGUCGCCCUAAAAAUGGCUUCCGCCGUAUCUGCCGCCCCUCUUCGCUCCAUCUACCUCGGUGUCGACGUCGGCACCGGCAGUGCUCGCGCAGGUUUAUUUGAUGAUAAAGGGAAGCUUCUAGGUUUCGGUAGCUGUGCCAUACAAAUUUGGAAGGAGGCUAAUUGUAUUGAGCAAUCUUCUACCGAUAUCUGGCAUGCUGUCUGUUCAGCUGUGAAAUCAGCAUGCGCUCUUGCUAAUGUUGAUGGAAAAGAAGUAGCAGGGAUUGGGUUUGCAGCAACAUGUUCCCUUGUGGCGGUGGAUGCUGAUGGGUCCCCGGUAACAGUUUCCUGGAGUGGUGAUUCAAGAAGAAAUGUUAUUGUGUGGAUGGACCAUAGAGCUGUAAAUCAAUCUGAAAGAAUCAACGCUUCCAACUCACCUGUAUUGCAAUACUGUGGGGGAUCUCUUUCGCCUGAGAUGGAGCCACCAAAGCUUCUGUGGGUAAAGGAAAACCUCAAGGAGUCCUGGUCAAUGGCAUUUCGGUGGAUGGACUUAAGUGACUGGCUAUCAUAUAGGGCAACUGGUGAUGAUACAAGGAGCCUAUGCACCACCGUUUGCAAGUGGACGUAUCUUGGUCAUGCACACCUAGAGCAAUUAACUGAGAACAUUUCCCGUGAUAUGGAAGCAUGUGGUUGGGAUGAUGACUUUUGGGAGGAGAUUGGCUUAGGUGAUUUAAUCGACGGACAUCAUGCGAAGAUUGGCCGAAGUGUAGCUUUCCCUGGGCAUCCUUUGGGCUCUGGUCUAACACCAGCUGCUGCAAAGGAACUAGGCUUGGAGGCGGGCAUUCCAGUAGGAACAUCUUUAAUUGAUGCCCAUGCUGGUGGGGUUGGGGUCAUGGAAAGUGUGCCAGCAUCUGAUAUUAAAUGCGAGGCUGAUGAGAUUGAAGGUAUCUGCCAUCGUAUGGUCUUGGUUUGUGGAACAUCUACUUGUCAUAUGGCUGUAUCUCGAACAAAGUUGUUCAUUCCAGGGGUCUGGGGGCCAUUUUGGUCUGCAAUGGUACCUCAAUAUUGGCUUACGGAGGGUGGCCAAAGUGCCACUGGGGCACUAUUAGAUCAUAUAAUCGAGAACCAUGUAGCUUCUCCUCACUUGGCUAAUCGUGCUGCUUCUCAGGGGACCACAGUGUUUGCACUUUUGAACAAGAUGUUAGAAUCAAUGAUGCAGGAGCUGAAUUCUCCAUUUCUUGCUGUUCUGACUAAGGAUUUGCAUGUCCUUCCUGACUUUCAUGGAAAUAGAUCUCCAACUGCAGAUCCCAAUGCAAAAGGGAUGGUCAGUGGUCUUACACUUAGCUCAAGUGAAAAGGAACUUGCUCUACUAUAUCUUGCUACUGUGCAAGGUAUUGCAUAUGGCACACGCCACAUCAUUGAGCAAUGCAAUGCCAAUGGCCACAAAAUAGACACCAUUCUUGCUUGCGGUGGACUAGCAAAGAACCCUUUGUACAUACAAGAGCAUGCAGAUAUUACUGGAUACCCGGUAAUUCUUCCACGAGAAAAUGAGUCUGUACUAUUGGGUGCUGCUAUUCUUGGUGCUGUUGCAGCAAAAAAAUAUCCCAGCCUUCACGAGGCGAUGAAGGCGCUGAAUGCAGCAGGCGAGGUUGUUUAUCCAUCGAAAGAUCCCAAUGUGAAGAAGUACCACGAUGCCAAGUAUAAAAUUUUUCGCGACCUUUAUGAAAAACAACUUUCAUAUCGAUCAAUCAUGGCUGAGGCUUUGGCUUAGGCAGCAUGUUAGGAGUAUCUUUCUAUCUCCCAGACGAGGAUGCUGAAGCGCCUUCGCAAGCAUUGAUCAUGGGUACGAGUACGAGUACGACUGUUUAUCACUCUCUCUCUCACUUGUUUGGCUUGGAAAGAAGUGUUAUUAUUAAUAUGCAAUGUACUUUAAUGCAGUUAAUUAUGCAGAGAAUUUGAUGUAAUUGAAGUGAUAUGGGAUCUUAAUUCUUUUCUAUAGAAGCUGACGACAUAUAACAUUUUUCUAAGGGGAGGAUUGGCAUAGUAGGGAGUUUAUGUAUUGGUUAUUCUUAUCUUGGGCUUGGCCUAUGUGUUCAGUUAAAGAAUUUUUUUUGAUCCAUAUAAACCAUGAAGAUGGUAUAAAGUACAAAGAAGGUGCGGGAGAUUUUAUGACAAAUUCAGCACUUCCAUAUAUAUAUUUAACUUGAAGCUGAUGUUUGGCCACUGGCCAGUUGCAGUUUCCAGUGUGUUUUUUCUUCUA
This is an RNA transcript of Beta vulgaris subsp. vulgaris (sugar beet), 2432 nucleotides long. RefSeq lists it as uncharacterized. The transcript is spliced from 16 exons. Lineage: Eukaryota; Viridiplantae; Streptophyta; Magnoliopsida; Caryophyllales; Amaranthaceae. The record is from RefSeq and is a predicted model, not a curated record.